Molecule: ribosomal RNA, 450 nt
Filed under: uncultured bacterium
Lineage: Bacteria
Description: SSU rRNA
Rfam family: Bacterial small subunit ribosomal RNA
Source: RNAcentral
AGGAUGAACGCUGGCGGUCUGCUUAACACAUGCAAGUCGAACGGAGUACCUCGGUACUUAGUGGCGGACGGGUGAGUAACGCGUGAGAAUCUGCCCUUAGGUCGGGGACAACCAUUGGAAACGAUGGCUAAUACCGGAUAAGCCGAGAGGUAAAAGAUUAAUUGCCUAGGGAAGAGCUCGCGUCUGAUUAGCUAGUUGGUGAGGUAAAGGCUCACCAAGGCAUCGAUCAGUAGCUGGUCUGAGAGGAUGAUCAGCCACACUGGGACUGAGACACGGCCCAGACUCCUACGGGAGGCAGCAGUGGGGAAUUUUCCGCAAUGGGCGAAAGCCUGACGGAGCAAGACCGCGUGAGGGAGGAAGGCUCUUGGGUUGUAAACCUUCUUUUCUUGGGGAAGAACAAAUGACGGUACCCAAGGAAUCAGCAUCGGCUAACUCCGUGCCAGCAGCCGC